Molecule: non-coding RNA, 2450 nt
Filed under: Pongo abelii (Sumatran orangutan)
Lineage: Eukaryota; Metazoa; Chordata; Mammalia; Primates; Hominidae
Source: RNAcentral
GAUAAUGCAAGUGUUUAACAGAUGCUUCACUAUUAAAAUAUUUUCCCCCCAAGUCUCAAAUAUUGAAGAAUCUCUAACCAGGGACACCAGUCCCAACGAAGACCUUGGGCGAUUUCAAAGUGCGGGCACCUCGAUUCCCCGAAUCUGUAGUGUGGCUGGUAUCGGUGUUUCCCUGGUUUAACUAGCCUGCUUGGCGCAGAUCAUUCAUGGGGAAGUAAAACCGAAACCAGUCCUCUCCACCCCCUGCGGGUCUUCACUUUCCCAGUCUACAUCUGCCUGUGACUCCAGAAAGACAAACUGCAGAUUGGCCAAGGUCCAGCCUAAAUGUUACCUCCUCCAGGGAGCCUUUCCAGAUACUGCUUCUCCUCUCUCCCCCAACUCCCUCCCACAAAUGAAGUAUUCUCUUCUGAAUUCCUUCCUGGUGCUGUCACUUGUAUUGUUUUGGGUAGAUCUCUGGGCAUGCAUAUGUCACCUUCUGUGACUGUGGGUUUCUUGACAACCUAAUCAAUGCAUUGAACAAAGGAGAUGUUUAGACAACCCAUAUAAAAUGAAUGACUAAGAGAAAUCGGGUGAAUACCGUCUACCCCAAUUGCAAUCAGAUUAGUUUCCUCUAUUUUGAAAACGAUUAGAACUAGUAGAGGAGUUAAAUGUCGCCCACUAGGGAACAAAUCUUCAUCUCCAAGCCGUCCUCUGGCUCGAUCGGGUCUGCACUGGGUCUCAUCAACUUACGCUGGCUCAGAGGGAGGCUCAGCCACAGCCUGGCCUUUCUGGUGCCCACUCCCAACAUCCUGAGCUCCGAGUCGGAGCUUGGCAGGGCCGACUCUAGGCACCCCACGAUUGGCUGAGUGAUCUCGGGCAAGGACCUAGGCGUCUCUAAGUCUUAGUUUCCCCAUCUGAACACUGGGGAUAAUGACACGUACCUGGGGUGGACAGGCUAGAGUAAAUGGGAAAAUCAAAGCGCCAGCCAGAGCGGGUCGCGCUCAGUUAGUAUUCUGUAUUUUCUCCUCCUGCCUCUUUGGUUUCUUCCGUUCCCUUCUAGCUGCCUGAAGAUCCAGCCCGACAGCGAUGCCUGCCAGCCCGCGUCGCCCACCAGGGCAGCUGCUCUCCCGACUCGCAUGGGGGGCACCACCCCGCCUCGGUGCCCUGGAGCUGAGCGCAGCCGCGGCUCCACGGGGAUCGCCAGGGCCUCAACCCUCGCGGCCGGCGGCGCGCGAGUGUUGCGGGGCAGGGACCAGAGUGCGACCAGAGCGGCCACCCCCGAUUUAGGUCGCCAGCUUUCCAAUCACUGCGAUGGCCACUGGGGCGCCCCUUCCAUCCUGGUUAAAUUAUCAUUGUGAUCCCCAGCCCCCUUCUCGGUUCCCAACACCCAGGAGGCCGGUUCUCCGCCGCUCAGGCCGGGAGAGGUCACAGCUCCGGGCAGGGUGGACCCCCAGCUCCGUCUCGGAGGGCCUUUCGCCGGAGGCGAGCAGGAAGGGGUUAACCAUGAGCCUCCCACCCUCACCUCCCAGCCCCUGGUGCCGGGCGAGCGAAGGCCUCCGCUUCCCUCCUGAGGUCUCAUUAGGAAACCCUCACCGCUAUUUUCAACAUUUCCUCAAUCAAGUGCCUUUAAAUAGAGCUGCACAAACAGAUUGGCGGCAAAAGCGUAGAUCUUGUCACGAUUGAGACCAAUCCAAUAUUUCGGCCUUGUUUGCUUUGCAAUUACGGGUUGGCUUGUGGCUGCGGUGCCACCGGGGCAAAUCUGCAGCCGCUCGCUUUCUCCUCUGCACUCCGGGCGGGUGGAGGAAGCGACCCGCGGAGUCACUGCAGGGAGGAGAGGGGGACGCGCGUGGGGGGAGGCGGCGGAGGGCGGAGGAGCCUCGCUUGCACCCCAGGGCCUCUGGCACGCAGAGCUGUGUUGAAGGACAUACUUUUCAGGUUCCUGACAGUCACUGAGCUAUACGCAAUAAUAAAAUGCGUGAUUCGCGUGUGGAAACCAGUGUCGUGUCCUUACCAGCUUCCUUUUCUGCCCACCUUCCCUCUCUCUUCUACCUCCGUUUCGCUUUUCUUCAGUGUAUGUUAGCGGUUUGCUGGAUUUUCCUUCUCCCUCGCUGUUCAACUGCUAGCAUGAUUUGUUACAUUUUCCACAGCUGUUUAUUCUUGUUUGACUUUUUGUACAAAGUCACUUUAAAUCUGCUGCAGAAAGAAUAAAGCUCCUAGCCCUUUGGAUGGGCUCCUGCAGGCGUGUGGCUGUCCCUGGCCCACUUUUAAUUCUUUGAAAAUGGCUCUUCUGUGUAAAUCAGCUGCUGGGUGCGUUCGGUCACCUCGUAGGCCAGCCUAGUUUGUGUCAGCAGAACAGUAGUGAACUCAAAUCAGGUCGUAAGCCUUAUAUUUCACAGACAAUUAAAUCUUGGCUGCUGUUGAACAAAACUGUAAUAUUUACUCUGCUCUAUACCGAGGAGCACUUUUAAAGU